UUUUCUUUUUUUUUUGGUUCUUUCCACCAUCUUCAUUUCCUUAUUGCCUAACAGCAUCCACCAUUUAUAGUCUUUUUAUGGCUAAUGUGACUAGUCAAUUGCCUCCAAUCAAAACAUUUCUUCCUAUUUCCUUCUUUUCAACAGAAACAAACAAAAAUGUGUACAUGUGUGUGUGUGUGGAUGUAUGCAACCAAAAGGGCAAAAGAAACAAAUACAGUUCCAAUUGAAGUGAAAGUAUGGCUUCGAAAUUAUGCUGUGAAGUGUCAAGUGCAAAAAGUCUCUGUUGGGAGGAACAACGGGAAAAUAAUGCAACCAAGAAAAAAACAAUUGAUUGAAAAAGCAAAUCUAUAAGAGAGAGAGAGGCAAUAGAUGGCUCGGGGGUAAGGAAUGAGAGAGAUGGGGAGGAAGAGUAGGAGUGACUAGUUUGAAUCAUGAUUAUAGACCAUUCAAGCCGGCCUCAAGGGAUUGAGAACUUGAUAUAACGUAAAAUUAUUAGGGGAGUUGAGUGAUAUUAUCAAAAAAUUUUAGAAAAGAUUUCUAGAAUUUUUCUUUUCACUUAUGACACAGUUGACUAAUAUGAUUUUUGCGGAAUCUGAAUUAUUGCAAAUCUUUUAAAAGUUAGAGGUACUGUAGAAAUCAUAGAGAGAAAGAAAAUGCCAGAAAGAAACGUACAACAAAUUUUUCUUAAUUUGUGAGUAACCCUGAAAACAAUGCAACGAUUUGUAAUUUGUUACUUGAAAUAGACUAAUGCGGAUAGGAUAUCAUCUUUGUACAAGUGACUUAUUGUUAUUUGCAGUGUACAGUGGACACAUUUGUGGAGAAAUUAUCAUGCUGAAUAUACUUCCGGAAAAAGCUGAAAGGACUUUCUUGAUAUUAAGCCAAGAGAGGAAAAGGGAUAAGGCGUAGAUGCAAUGUUGUUGAAUCAAUUGAAGAAAAGCUAGGAUGAGAAAUUCUAUUUUUCUUAAAUUAAAGCACAAAUUUAUUUCAUCCUAAAUGUUAUAACUAAAGUUUGCUUCCUUACACCUAAACUGAAAGAGAACAUGCAGUACAAAAGAAAAGCUUAAUUAAAGUACUUUAAGCUUGCUCUUAUAAUGUGAUAUGAAGAAAAUACAAAAGAAAUUUCUUUUAUUUCUCCGCUUCUCUCUCCCCUCCUACUCUAUCUUUUGGCCCCUUGUCUUCUUCUUCUUUUUAGACCACUUCCUACUCUUAUGUUCUUGUACCAUGCACAUGUAUAGCACAGACAUCUAGUGUUAUAAACUUCUUCUACAUGCAUGAAAUGAAAUUGAAGUACUAAUCUUUUGUUAAAAAAUCAGUAGUUAAUUAAUUCUUCGACAAGUGGUGUAAACCGUUUAACAAACAAUCUAUCAGUGACUAAAGUCUAUAUUAGAAAUUUAGAACUUUAAAAAGAAUGAAAAAUAAAAAGUCCAUGUUAGAGCUUAUUCUCAUACCAUUAUCUAGAAGAAAAUUCGUUAAUUACUUGCGUGGAUUGCGAUAUUUUAUGAGGCCAUAACUCUAGCUGACUGUAUCAUCUAACCUCAACAUGAUCUGUAAUAUCUUCUAAAACAUGAUUAGUACUUACAUUAAUUAUUGGAUACACAUGUGCAACUGUGAUAAAGUGGAAGUAUAAACUAUGAAGCAGAAGAUUCAUUUUGUAUAUUGUAAACCGACAUCAAAACCUUUUAUGAACAAAUAUCUUUGAUUAGAAAAGAUUUAGCCCAAGAAACCUUCUAGCGAACUACUGCAUUUCUGCUUGUAACAGCAUAGCUUUUGCAUCUCGGGUAUGCAUAAAUGGGGGAAUCUGCUUCCUUGAAAUCACAGGGCAUGUCCUCAUCGAUCCUUCCAAUCCUUCCAAUCCCAACACUGUAACUCCUCUUCUCCGCUGCUUUAGCGGGCAGCUUCACGCUUGUAAUUGGCCUUUGCAACUGAGGAUCGAUGGUCUUGAUCCCAGCAUUGGCCUCACUCAGCUUUGUGGAUACGGCGCGAAUGAGUUCCCUGAGUUCAUCUUCCUGCUUGCUAUCCUUGGACGAGUUAACGCUGAAGUUUCGUGGUAGCUGUUGAGACACUUGAGGAGCAAUACCGCAGUUAACCACCGUGUUAUCACCAAUUCUUGCAGCACAAUCGAACAUGCUGUUCAUGUAGAAUUCUGUUAUUUUCUUCAGGACUCUGGCAGGUGCUUUUAGGAUAACCAUCAGCGUGCUUUGCUUCUUUGCUUUUGUCGUCGUCUUCAUUCUAUGAGUUGUUGAUUAAGAGGAGCUAACUGAAAAUUGGCAAGUAUUGAUGAUGAAGUUAAAAUGUUGAGUGAGGUGGGAAGGGCGGCAAAAUAUUGAAGGGGUAUAUAACAGAUGCAGAUUGCUUCGAGUGUUGAUUUCAUUUUGUAACUUGUACUGCCUUUAUGUUUGUAGCGUUAUUGACUCUUUCUAGUGUAGAACAGAUCCAAGGUCAAAUAUAUGGCUGUCCAUGCUCCAUACGCAUAAUUAACUUGAGGAGAAUUGCAAUUUUGGGCCUCUAUAUAGUGGAUAAUCACAAUUGGACCUUUUCAAACUUUAACUUUGAUAUAUUCAGACCAGACGUUAAUUAGUCUGCCAAGUUUAGGAUAUGAGAUUAUUUGAAAUAUUAUUUGGAAUAAUUACUGUAGCACUUUUUGUGAUGUGAUGUAUGUGAGAUAAAAAGAUAAUUGAAAAGAUAAAAAUGUGUGUUGGAAAUUAUAUUUGUAAUGUAAGCAAAUAAUUUUUAGCCAUUAUUUGGCUAUCCAAACACAUUACAUAUGGUUCCUCGUGUUCAGAUGAUUCUUAAAGUUGGGGGGGGGGGGGUCAUGAAUUUCUUCUUGAAUCGAAGUAUAGAAUUUUGAAAAUUUUAAAAAGCCUAAACUUGUCCACACCAGAAAUUCGAGGAGGCCAUCUAAAAGAAAUUUAGAAGUCCGGGGAUUGUGGCUUAUAUAUGUUGAAAUAGAAAUUUGAAGAAUAAAUUUGGCCGUGUAUCUUCUGUUUCACUCCCGGUGUCCCAUUUUUUAGUAUUGUUUUUCCUUGAUAAAUAUCUUAUUUUAGUUCUUUUUUGUUUUCUUAAAAUCUAAUAACUAUUAAUUGAUUAAAAAAUAAAUACAACAAUCUCAAAAAGUAAUAUAUUAUAAAAAUUAUAAAAUACAAUAGAAAAUUCAUUAAAAAAAUCUCAUUUUUAUGCAUUUUGAUUUUUUGAAUUUAUUAAAUUUUGUGAGUUGAUAGUUAUUGAAUUUUAAGAAAAUAAAGAAGAACUAAAAUUUGAUGUUUAUAAAGCAUAAAUAGCAAUAUAAUAAAAAGUGGGACAGAGAGUGACACAGAAAAUGAGACAGAAGAUCCUUCGUGAAUAAAUUUAUGGGUACGAAAAACAUAAGGAUGGAUGGUAACAUACUAACAUUGAAAAUCUUAAACAAGUCAAAGUAGGGAUUUUGUUGAAUUUAAAAAGGGUUCUAAACAAGCGCAAGAAAGAAAGCGUCAGUUUAGAUUGCGGAAUGGCUGGCCACACAGAUUUAAUUGUAGGGCGGCGCGGCCACCUUGAAUACAUCCCCGGAGUAAAUUAAACUUGGUCUGGUCGUGUCUACUAAUUAAUUGCGCGUCAUUAUUGGAAAUUGGAAUGAUUCCAAUGGACGCCCCUGAAUACUACUACGCUGGUCCUUUUCUUUGUAGAAUUUGGGAUCCUUUCUACUCCCUCCGUUCUACUUUGAUAGUACUGUUUCUUUUUUCAGACAGUUUAAGAAAAAGUGGUUAAUUUUGUUGGAAAAGUAAAAUUUAGAUUACUAUUUUCCUAAAAUACCCUCACAUUAAAUAUGGUAUAACUUUAUGAGAACUUGAAUUGAUGGUAAAAAAAGAAUCAACUCUCAUUAAACGGAGUAGGUUUAUAAUAACAACAACUUACAUUGAAUAAGGGUAUUUUAGAAAAAUUAAAAUACAACUACAUUCUUCAAUUGGAAAGUGGACUACAAUUUGGAACAGAUGAAAAAGGAAUACAGGGCUAUCAAAGUGGGACGGAGGGACUAUUUAUUAGUUUUUUUUAAAAAAAAUGUUAAGCAUACAACUUCACCAGCAAAUUUAUUGAACAUCGAAUCCGUUGGAUCCUCCCUUUGACUAAACUAAACAUCAAUUUUCUUUUCCUUGCAUGCACGAUUCACAGCCCCUUCUUUGCACGUGCUUCUCUGAAUCUUCCAUAUUUUCUGCUAUGUUUCAAUGGAAUAAUACGAAGGGUUAAUCACAUUUUAUCCCCUUAAAGAAUACCUCAUUUCUCAGUUUACCCUCUAACCUUUAAUUUUGCUCACUUAACCCCCUUUAGGACAAAAUUGCCCUUGCAUUAUUUUGACUUUUCAUUUACCUUGUUUUCCUUUCUUUUAUUUCUUUUUCUCUUUCUUCUUUAUUUAAUUCUUCCUCUUUCCCACAAAAACUUCACCUUAAUGAUUGAAAUUAAAAAAGAGGAAUUACAAAGAUCUAUCUUCUUCUUAAAUGAUCAAAAAAAUAUUCAAACCACUUUUCUAAAAUACAAUUUUUUUAGCCUUUCAAUUCUUUUAAUUUUGGGUUUUCCUCUUUCCUUUCUAGUUUCUCAUUUUAUUCUCAAGAAAAUAUCAUAAGAUGAAAUUGUUUUCCUUUCUUUUAUUUCUUUUUCUCUUUCUUCUCUCUAUCAUCCUUCCCAAUAGAAAAUUCGAUUUCCACAAAAAUUUUUGUUUUGAGUUUGCAAUCGCAUAUUUUUGGGCAAAGGUUUAAAAGACAUCAAAAACUAAUUUUGAUUUUUUGUAUGAUGCCACGUGUCACAAAUUUCAAUUGAUAAUUAUUAAUCAGGUCACAAUUUCAUCUUAAGAUAUUUUCUUGGGAAUAAAAUGAGAAACUAGAAAGGAAAGAGGAAAACCCAAAAUUAAAAGAAUUGAAAGGCUAAAAAAAAUUGUAUUUUAGGAAAGUGAUUUGAAUUUUUUUUAAUCAUUUAAGGAAAAGAUAGAUCUCUACAAUUCCUCUUUUUUAAUUUCAAUCAUUAAGGUGAAGAUUUUUAUGGGAAAGAGGAAGAAUUAAAUAAAGAAGAAAGAGAAAAAGAAAUAAAAAAAAGGAAAAUAAGGUAAAUGAAAAGUCAAAAUAAUGCAAGGGCAAUUUUGUCCUAAAGGGGGUUAAGUGAACAAAAUUAAAGGUUAGGGGGUAAACUGAGAAAUGGGGUAUUCUUUAAUGGGAUAAAAUGUGAUUAACCCUAAUAUGAAUAUCAUGACAGAUAAAUCAAGAUGUGAUCAACCGAGUUAGAAGUUCAUUAUUGCUUAAUAAUAAUUAAUUCCUUGCUGAAUUCUACAAAUACCUUUUCCCAAGGAUUUCGUGCAUUCUGCAUGUAUUUAUUGCAAUAAUAAGAUUUGGAUUGUAGAGUGUGUAAAAUUGAGAAAGCAUGAUGAGCUUUUAAAAAACAGGCUAAUGAAAAUAUAUCAAGGAUUGACUUUUUUAAAAACAAGUAUAUAAUUACAUUUUGAAUGUGUAAGUAACACCAAUUCUUAUGAUUUUUCUAUUUAAUAUCACAUAAUAAAAUUGUCAUACUUCAAUUCUUAUACUAGAAAAUGUCAAAUAAUAAUUAUUAACCAUAUUUAAUUACAGGCACUAAACUCCUGCGCGUUGCGCGGGCUUUUCCCCCUAGUAUAUAUAUAUAUAUAAUAGAUUAGAUGAUUUUAAAUGUAGCGAAUACUCGGUAGGCACUUGUUUUAAAAAUCUUGUGUUAGUAGUAUGAAUGGAUCUAUCAUAUAAAUCCAAAACGGUUUCUCUUGUAAAAAAAAAAAAAACGCUUCUAAAUAUACCUGGAAAAUUCAUAUAAAAGGUCUCUCUUGUCCGUUGAUGAUGUUGAACUGGUCUCGGUAGAGAAAUUAGGUUCUCAAUGUUGUCCGUAAGUUCAUGAAAAAUGUUCUCCAACUUCCUGGAAUCAGUUAAAGAGUGGUUAUAAAUAGUACGUUUCUUUCUUUUUUUUUUUGGUUUGAAUUUAAGAAGAAAAUAAUAGAGGAAAUGGACAAAGAUUUCAAACUUGAAAGGAUGAGAUAAUUUGGAAGUAGGUAAAAAUUAUUGCAGAUAGAAUGAUUGGAGAGUGUUUGGAGGGACGUGACGUUGUUAAUGUGAAUCAACUAAAUGGGCCGAACCAACCUAAACUAUGUAUGGCCCAAAAAUACUACUGUUUAAUUAAGUCUUUCUUACCAAUAAUAAUAAUAAUAAAUGCUGUUUAAUUAAGUCUAUUAUACAUAGGAAAGAGAAAAAGUUUGAUUAAAACAAUUACUCUCUCUCUCUCUCUCACACACACACACACAUAUAUUGUAAAUGGGCUGUGUCAAACAUGGUAGUCUAUUGGGCCAACCUCGUGUAAGGAACUCACCCUCGUAUAUUGCUAUUGUUAGGCGAGAAUUUUCUAUGCAAAGAAAAGGAAGAAAAAAAUAAGAGAGACUGAGUGAUCAUUUGUUCUGUACAUCGUGUCAUUUCAUUUUCAGCCCGAAAACGAAACUGCAAGGUAUAAUUUGCAGAAGCCCUUGAUCCAUUUCGGAUUUAAGUUCCCGGUAAUCACAAUCUUGAUCACAAAGAACAGUUCAGGCUGAGAGAUUGAUGUAUUCGAAUUUGCCUGAUGGAGUUUGAAAUUUGGAUAUAGAUUAUAAUAAAUAAAAUAAAAAAGUUAUUGCGUUUUCACAUGUAAAUAUCUUAAUGUCUACAUUUGUUGAAUUAGUGCCUACAUCGCAUGAUGCGGUUUUCACUGUUAAUUAUGGAAGUCCUUGAUCUAUUUCGGAUCCAAGUUCUCUGUCAUAGCAGUCUUGAUCGCAGAGAAGAAUUCAGGUCGAGAGAUUGACGUAUUUGAAUUUGGAUGAUCGGGAUUAAAUUUUGGGCACAAAGUUUAGUAAAUAAAAAAGUCAUUAUUGUGUUUUACAUGAUGUUGUUUUAAUACUCUUAUUUUAGCGUUUGUUUUUGUUGAGUCAAUGUUUGCACUGGCGCAGUUCGCAUUGGUAGUUGUAAAAAACCUUUGAUUCAAAGAUUCCUUGUGGAGAACGAAAGUUUCAGAAGUAUAUAGAGUUUGAAUUUUUAUUUUUUUUUUUUGGUUUUGUGAGAGUAGUUUGAAGUUCAAACUUUGAACAGGAUCAAUAUUUUCAAACUCAUUAUUGUCAAGUAAACAAAAUUUUUUGUCUUGACAAAAAAAUGCAAAAUCCAGAGGUAAGAAUUGUUUUAGCCUUACAAAUCAGUCUGUCGGAAUAUAUGCAAUAAAGGAACAUUAAUGCCCUUUAAUUUCACCAACUGCCGAAAACAGCGUUAUUAUUUUAUUACAGGCAUGGCGGGGUACAACAAUAAAAGCCUGCCCUGUUUGGAUUGUCAUUUUUUGUUGAAAAAUUGCGUCGUUUUUCGUAAUCACAUUUUUUUAUUAUUUUUUUUCUCACAUACAUCAAAUCGUUACAGUAAUUUUUCCAUGAAAAAUCAUAGAAAAUGCAAUCCAAACGGGGUCCAAAAAGUCCAAGUUCCUUGUUUCAGCUCAAUUAUCUGUUUUUUUUUUUUUUUUGGUCAAAGGUCAACUUCUAUAUAUGCUUCAGCUCAAUUAUCACUCACUUGAAAUCAAGAUUCCGGUCUCACUCUGCCGCUCAAAUAUUACUAGUCAAAUGUUUUUUUUUUCCUGUAGAGAAAGAAUUUAAGUCCAGGACUAUACGUGCUUUUUUGAAGGGGUACCAUAUGUGUUAAUGGCAUAAAUUCCGAAAUCAUUUAUUUUUGUCAUCUUCAUCCAAGUUGGGGAGGUUUGAGGUUUUGGGUGUAUUGCUUCCGUUUGUUUAAUGUUUUAGAUUAAAGGACAGAAACGAUCGCCAGAAAAUGUAAGAAGUAUUUAAUUAGUUGUUAGAUUAAAUUCAUAAUUUACCUUCAUUCAUCUUCCAACAACAGCUUAUUUAGCCCUGAGUUCAAUUUUCUCGAUUUUUUUUUUAAAAAAAAUUUUGUUACAAAAGAGAGAGACUUAUCCAUUCCUUACACUUGAGAUGACAAGUUCUCUAUUUUUCCUCUAAAAGGAGGAGGACUUAUCACUUUAAUUAUUUUAAUUUAGGUGUGGCCACGGUUCAAAUUUAAAUCAGAAUUAGACUGGAAUCAAGCUGGCAGUUUGUUAAACCCAAAUUGAAAUCAGAUUUUGAAACCAUAAUCAUGAUUAAAGGUUCAUAUUCAUAUUCUCCAAAAUUUUGAACUAAAAUCGUCUAAAAAAACACUUAUUACAUAAAUCUAUAUAAGCAAUUUAGAGUUUAAUAUCAAUAGUCGGUGCACAACACUAACAGUCUCAGUUCUAAUCCAACAAUCCAACAAUCCAUUAUCUCAUCUCAUUAGUAAGUCUAGGCACAUAACUAAUCUAAAUCCGAGACCAAUCCAAUUUGAUCAAUUGUGAGGUAUAUUUUCAUCAUUUUUUCUUUUUCCUUCGUAUGAUAAUGCAAAAAGUUUUUUUUUUUUUUUUGUUUUUUCCAUUCAUCGUCAUUUUUUCUUAGAAUCAAUUUUAUAACAAUUAAUAAUUGUUUAUACAUAACUAAAAUCAUUGGAAGUGAAACCAGAAGCAACCAAAAUAAAAUCGAACAAGAGCCAAAGGUUGAUAUAAUUCAGAAAACACCAAUUUUUUUUAGAAACUUUGUAACUAUAAAAGCCGAUUCAGGCUCCGCCUUUUAAAAGAAAGGAAAAUGUCGAUUUUUAAAUCCAAACCAACAAUUUUGAAAUUGCGACCAUAUAUACUUUAACUUAUCCAUUCCAUUGCAUUUUUAGCCGAAACUAUUUUUUAACUUAUCCAUAUCCAGUUUCUUUAUUUUUUUUUGACCAAAUUCCAAUUACUUUUUUGGAAAUGAAAAUAAAUUCACCCUAACUCGAGAAAAUUAUAUAUAUACUCCAAAAUUUCAUAACCUUUACGAUCAACUAAUUAUCCGUUCCCCAACACGCGCACACACGUAUACGUUUAAAAGUCCAUAGCUUUCCUAACAAAGACGGGAUUUAAUGCAUCCCAUCAGAUUCAAACCGAGACAAUAAUGUGCCUCAAUUAAGUGCUAAUAUGGAGCAUAUCGAUUGACUUUUGGUGAUCCUAAUCAGCAGCAUCGCACAGCAACUGGGUUGUAAUCACCUUUUUAGCCAUGAUAAAUCAAUUACAGAUUCAGAAUUUGACUAAACUCGAGAUUCACAAUUAAGGUGUAACCGCCCAUUCGAAAAAAAAAAAAUAUUAUGUAUGGAGAAAGACAAAUUCGGAAGUUUCAGACUGUAUGGAUUAUGGUAUGUGUUGAUGAUACAGAGAAUUACUAAAAGGGAAAUCAAGAAAAGCUGCAGAAAAAUUAGAGUGAUAUGCAUCGAAAAGACGAAAAUCAAGAAACGCUACGCUUUCCGGGGCGAUCGGCACCCUUGAGAGUCUUGUCGAUGAGUUGGCGAGCUUUUCUACUGCGGAUCUCCACUUUAACACUUGCACUCUUGUCCAUCUUUACGUAUGGCUUCUUUUUCUUCUUCAAAUUCAGUGCUUUCACCUUGGACUUUAUGGACUCCACCAAGUGCUCCAAUUGGUUAGCCAUUUCUGCACCUUAAACUACUAAAAGAAAGAAAGACCCUCUCUGUCUCUGUCUAUUCUUUUUUUUUUUUUUUUUACCUUACUGCUGCUGCUACUACUGCUACUGCUAGAGCUAUUGCAUUCUUGGUUUAUUGAUGAAGGAAAGGGAUGGGAUCAAUUUCGUUGUCACAUAGGAUUGAUCACUACAACGAGGCUGUUGCUGCGAUUGAUGUUCAAGUUGAUGAUCUUUUGCGUAUUUCAAGGAAAUAAAAAUGGCCCAAGAUUGAUUGUGAGAGAGAGAGGGGCUGGUGGGAUGGGAGAAUGGGAGAGAGCAGCAAAAUUUGUUUUAGUUGGAUUGGAAGACCAUUAGUAAGAAGGCGUCAGCUAUUUAUUAUGGUUCCGUCUCUGGCUGCUCCGCUUCUGGUGCCGUGCGAGGUUUUGGGUUCACAUUUACCGGGGGGCGUUCAAGAAAUUAGUUUGAGCGUGCUAAUUUUCAAAGAAACGCGAUUAUUCACGGGAGUUUUUUUUUUUCUGAUAAAACACAAAGCCAAUAUAUGAGUAAUUUAUUUAAUCUAUGAGUUUUUAGACGGGUGCCAAAAUACACCUUACAGAGUGAUGGCUCUCCAAAAGAAGUAAAAAAAAAAAAAAAAAUUGUAAAAAAAUGAGACCAAGACCAACAUUGAGGAUCGCACAACUAAGUCAAAACGCCUGCAAUUUUACCAUCCAUGCUAUGGCCAAGUUUGAUAAUUUUCGAUUUUCAUUCAUUUGUUUCCUUACAUGGAGGCGAGACAAGGUCCAUCAAACCCAGUUACUGCGAACAUUUUCAGCCACAAAACAUAUAAAUUUGUUCAAGCAUUUAGUCAGGUUUUCUCACUCAAAACCUGUUCAAGCUUUGAGCCCACAAACAGUCGAGAUAUGGGUCAUACUCAUACCGCCUUUAAUGUUGACUCCAAUAUAACCAUUUCUGUUAACAUAUGCAGUCAUCAUCAAAAUUUUCACUAAAAACUUUCAGAAACAUUUUAACCAUUUUUUUUUUAUUAGGACCAAAGGAUUUGAAUUACGUCUAUUGAAUGCAAAGCUUCAGCACAUAUCAGCCGUUACCGAUGAGUCAGCUCGUCGUACCUUCAAAACUCGGGAUGUUACUGUGAAUCUUUCAAAAUUUGACACUAGAAUUAAAUCUCUUGCCCCGACGAUAAGAAAAGGAAAAUGCGUCCAUUUUAUGUUUCAUCAUAAGUUGACAAACAAUUGGAUAUUAACACCUGGGAAGAUUCAAUGGCGCACUAAACAUUUGCCGACUUAUUCUGUGAGCAGCUUCAAAGUCGAAGCGAACAUAACUACAGCAAAACGAAAUAAGUGAAUCUCUAUACUACUUGUGUAUCCUUGGAGGCGGGAUACACGGACGAAGAGAGAUUAAUUUGAUAAAAUUGAGAUACUUCCGGUAUUUGAAGGAAAAAAAAAAAUGAAUCCGCCCCGGUUAAGCUUGUUCUUCUUAUUCCACUUGCAAUAUAGUGUGUGAUUUACGAAACCUGCCAACAACACAGUGAGUGUGUUUGAAUUGAGAUGAUUUGAGAUAAAAUAAUUUAUUUCACAAAUUCUAAUAAUUUUUUUAUCUUCACAGUUACUUUUUUUAUCUCGCAUACAUCACAUCACAAAAAGUACUACAGUAAUUAUCUCAAAUAAACUUCUAUCCAAACAAACUCAGUAUCUUUAUCAACAUUGACCUCUAUCCUUCUCUUUUUGCGUAUACAGGAUUAAACCAAGCGAUAUAUCUGUAACACGGGGCCUAAAUAUCGAAAGCAUUCAAUAAUAUUCCGGAAAAAAAAGGGAAAACAACAAGAAACAGACAAAAUAUGCUACAUCCGUAUAGCAACUUCUGACAUUGAGGCUCUGGUCGGCCUUGGCCUAUUAAGAGAGGCACCCAAAAUAGCAACUAGUCAAAAAUCAUACUGUAACUAGUCUUCCUUUUAUGCUUUACGGAUACGUAAAUUUCACUUUCCAAUGUAAUUCGUACAAGCACUAAGCAGGAUCGGAGCACAAAUAGGGAAUAAGCGUGAAUUUUACAGGGCAGGUAAAGAACCACCCAGGGCCAGGAAGGGUGGAUUACUGGAAAGAUACCGAUUUCAAGAACCACCCUGGGGUUUGUUUGGAUUGGAUUUUAUUUUUUCAAAUUUAUUUGCUUACAUCAUCAUUACAAUUUCUAAUACACCUUUUUACCUUCCCAAUUACCUUUUUAUCUCACAUAUAUCACAUCACAAAAAGUGUUACGGUAAAAAUAUCUCUAAUAAUUCACAAUCCAAACAGACACCCAGAAUCGGAUUGUUGUGUAGGCUUUGUAGACAUACAAAACUUUUAAGCCAGAUGCGAGGAAAGUCAGCCAGCCUAACACGACCAUUUACAAAACCAUGGGACAUCCUAGACAGACUGGCUCAUCAUGUCCUUUAUCACACGUACCAAGGAGGCCAUGACGACCUUAAAUCUUGCACUAAGAAGACACUCCCUUUUUCAUAUGGAACUUGAUUUUAUGUCAUUAAGACGUGCCUUUACCAAAUCAUGGGGAGGCCGCGGAUACGGCAUACUAAAUAACUAUGGAAAGUGAUGAUGAAUUCCCAUAAAGUCAAGAGUUACUCCAACCAACAGGUUUUUAUCCAAGCACAAUAAAAACGCUUAAAAAAUUAAAAGGAAAGAAACCUUUGAGCAAAAGCAACACGAUUUCUUUUUGCAAGGCCGAGAUGGCAAAGUUCUCCACGCUUAACCAUUAUAAAUAAGACGUACAAUUGCUGCAUGUAAACAGAAAUAUAUUAUUGUAGCCUACGGGAACAAGAGGUCAGACAGAGUUCAACAAAAUCGCAAUACAUACAUGCAUACAUACAAUAUGUCCACAUACCCACGCAUACAUAUUCUAUGGAUGUGUUAAGACAAGCCAAACCUGCCUCAGAUGCAGCAACACGAGAAACACCUCCGUUGACUUUACUGUUGCUAAUAUGACCAUUGGUUAGAUAGUCUGUAACUUAUUUUGAACCGUUAACCUAAGAAAUUACUCACAAAAUUCAAUUGACCGAGGUACCAAAAAAGCUAGAGUGAACAAUCCCCAUAGACUUGCUUAAUCGAAUCUUGUUUGAUUUACCAAAAAGAUCACAGCAACAAGGGAAGAAUUGCUUAAAAAUCAAUGGGCAGACUCUUAGAGAUUUUUUUUUUUUUGAGUUGGGGGGAGAGGGGUGGUUAGGUUUAAAAAUGCUUCUAAAUUUAGAUUGAAAGAGAUUUAGUGCUUCUGUUGCUCUACUGAAGAUCAUCCAGACGAUACACCAUUUCCUAGACCUACUGGAAGUCUGGAACAAACUGUAAAUGAGAAAUGUAAAAUCAAAAUCAAACACUCCAGUGAUCAGUCAAGAUUGCAGAUGAAAAGAGAAGUGUUUACCUAAAAAGCAACCAAAUGAAACGCUGAAGGAAACGGUACUCAGCUCAAAAGAAAGAACAAAAAUACUAGGAGGGGGGAGGGGGGGGGGACGCGGGGAACUCUUGCCUGAAAAUCUAGCUGAUUAUUUUAAUUUUCCGGAGAGGUCGACCAUAACAUUAAAGUUGACAAAAAAGCAAUAGUAGCAGUUUCAACACGUAGGCGAUGUGGACCAAGACCAACUGCAGUCGCACCAGCCUCGACAAUCAUUCUCAACUCUGUCUCAGUGAAGUCUGAAAUGGAGUAAGGUCAACAACAAAUGAGAUAUCCAGGAUGUUCAUCCUGAAGAAAGUACAACCAACAAUAACUGAAAUUCUUGAAACUAGGUAAUUUUCAAGCACACGAAAGAAGCAACGCAUCAAAUUGAUAAAGCUAAGACUAUUAAACUAAUGACAGGUCACUGAAUGGCCUUCUCAUAUGAACUUAAACACAAAAGCUUAGUGCCAAUUCCAUAUAUCUGAAUGGAUAAAAAUGACAAUCAUCAUGCAUGUAUGCACUAUUCAGCAAGAUAAUAAAACUAAUUCCACCACUGCUGUACUAGAUUAUGUCCCAUUACAUUACAAAGACUAUUGCUUCUUGUCAAAAGCAAAGAAGUGUAGGAAAACGAACACAAAGACCCAAAGUGAUGGCUAUCCCAGAGAUCCAUUCGCAGUUUAUGUUAUCUAAAGUGAUUGCUGUCCUAGUGAUCCACUUGCAGUUUAUAUUAUCUGAACAAGUAAAUGUUAACCAAUGCUACACCACAAGUAUCUGCCAUAAUAACUAGAUUGUGGACAGGAUACAGUUUUAGAAUCUAAUGCAAACACAUUUCAACAUUCCUAAUAAAUAUGUAAAAAACUAAACAAACAAGUUCAACUCCUGAUUACUGCAGUGUUUUCAACACUGGUGAAACUUUCACUCAUCACUUUGGCGUCAGAUAGGAAGACUAUCUAAAAUGUCUAAGUGAGCAAGGUUAUGUAAAAGAGUUGUUACAUAACACCGCCACUUUGCCAGUUUGGGGGGAUGGGGUUGGAGAUAAAACUAAAUUUUCUCAAAAAAACUUUCCCUGAGAGAGGGAGAGAGGCAUGUAAAGAGCACUGACCUCCUUCAGGUCCAAUUAUCAUUAGCCCAGUUGACUCUUUUCUUAAGGUACUCAAAGCACCAAAAACAGGAGUAGCCUCCGCAACAGCUACGAAUGAUAGUUUUGAUUGACGAACCUAAAGCAUGGUUUAAGAUAAGAUGUAAGUUCAGAAAGACCAUACUUACAAGGCUUAUGUGUCAAAAUUUGAGAGAUAAUAACAUCAUAACCAAAGCAUAGAUAAGUAUGGUUUAAAAGGAACAGAAAAAUUUGACUUACAAGGGGCAAAACUCCACCAAUCUUCACAGGAGAGUUCAAAGUCAUUUCAUGCAGCCUUUGACCUAUUUACCAGAGCACCAUUUUGGGAAAAACAAAAAUAUCAUGACAAAGAGACUGAUGAUAAUACUUCACACAAAUUAAGUUAAUGCCAUCUUAAGUUAGCCAACUACAUUCAAAGCGCAUGGUUAAACUACAAUGGUGGUACCAAAAAGGUUAUGGUGAAACGUCAAUUACAUUGUUUCGAUGCAGCAAGAAUAACACGUUCUAAUCUGUCAAAUCGGUUAUCUGAAAUGGAUGGAGAACGCUCAGUCAACAAAGGCGUCACACUGCUAGCUCCCAGUUCCUGAGACAUGACAAAGGAGAAUAAGCAUGUAAUUUUAAGCAACUUAAAUUGAUAGAGAGAUAUUACCCACAUGACUGAUCAUUGAUCUAGACAUACUGUGCAUUUCUCUACAAGCCAAUCAGCUCGACCUCCCUUUAAAGUUCCUAAAAUCCAAAGAAAGAUUAAAGCAAGUCACUUGACAUUAUGGCAGGAAUGAUUUCUCAUAGACACAGGUGCUUUAGGUGUUCUUAAGGACCCACCAAAAGCAGCAAAGACAUGCCAUUGUGGGGCCAGAGGAGAUACUAACUUUGCCUUCUCCGCUGCCACAAAAUCAACUCCUGUGCGAUCAAUAUUCUGUAUGUGUCCUUCAACAAGACCCCCUUUGCCAUCAAAGAGCUCUAUCCUUGAAAAUGAAUGAAAGGAAACCAGCAAUAUAUACAACAGGUCAGCCAACUUGCAAGAAAAAUAAUGAUCAAUUUAACUGUGAGCAUCACAAAAGCCACAGAGUAAGGUUUAACACUUCAACCGAUCGGCUUUGCUUAAAAUUCUAGAAAUAUUCCAGGCAAGGCUUAAACUCUAAUAUUUCUCCACAUAGUUAUGUUCCUACCAAUAAUAUUCAACUUUUCAACUCCUUCAGUCAAAUGAAAUUCUUAAACUGAUAAUAAGCAUACUCAAGAGGAAAACACAUUAUUGAUGUAAGACUUGCAAUUGGAUAAUGCAAACGAGGGAGCAAAGAAAUGUGGAAGAAAAGAUGAAACUUCAUGAGCUAUACAAGAUAAAAUGUAAGAAUAGCUAAAAUCCUGCAUCAUUAACAUGUUUCCUACUGGGUAUUUCUCAAAACUCAAUAAGAAUAAUGAUACAUACAACUUUUGGUACAUUUUUCUGCAACGGUUAAAUUGGAAAUGGAAGAAGCUGAAAUGAAAACAUCCUCGAGAUCAAAACCUCAAAGAAAGUAUAAAGCAAACCACGACUUUGUUGUACGAAUAACAGGGUAUCCAAUUACGCUUGGAAGAGUCAAGUAAAUAAAGCAGCUGACAUGAAACACAUUCGGCAUGUGGAAGUAAAUGCUAAACUCAAAAAAUUCACUCUCGUGAAGCAAAGAUUGAAUUCACGUAAGCACAAAGUUGACCAAGUAUUAGGCUGGUACGGAGAAUACCUGUCGUUGAUGUUUAAUCGGAGGACUUUUGUCAUAUGCCAGAACUCGUCGCCUUGAACACGGACAAUUCCACCCCUGGAAGCGGGGAGGGUUUCGGAGUAGAACCGGGGGAGACGGCCGCGAGACUGACUGGUGUAAUCGGAAGAAGAUGAAGAAGAGAAAGCUCGGGGUCGGAGAGAAAAGGUGAUUGCCUUUUGCCGGGAAGAUGGAGAUAGCUUCGCUAGUAGGUUUACCAGACAAGGUCUCCAAACUAGGGUUUGCAUUUAGGAAUUUGUCGGGAAUAUUAAACACACAGUUGCUUUAAUACGUCCGACGUUCUGGACUGUGAUUUUUGUGAGCUUGAUGAUGAUGACAAGAGCAAAUAAAUAAAUAUACUAGUACAGUAGGAGUAUAAAUUCGCCCAACAUUCGACUAUACCAUAGUUAAAUUUUACUGCUUAGGCUCAUAGGAUUUUAUGAUGGCUAUUAGUAGUAUCUCAACCACAGCAAAACAGAGUAUGGAUGUAGCGGAGCUACAAUUUUCUAGAUAUCAAAUUUGAAGUUUAAAAAGUCGGAAUUUGUAAAAUUUACAAACAUUUGUAAGAGUAGCGUAAAUUUUGCCAGAGCUUAGUUUGUUUGGACAAGAAAUCACAGCUUCGAAGACGAUCUAAAUCUGGAUUUCAUGGUCGGAUAUUAACAGACCAGACUAAUUACAUGGUACUACCUCAAAUUCAUUCCAUGGAUAAUUUUUUACAUUCAUUUGGUUGCCUAAACAGGAAAUUGCAUUUUAUGUCCAGAACUAGCAUGUCUGCCUAAUAAAAGAACAACCUCGUUCUGCUACUACAGCCGGUCGGUCAGUUCCGCAGGGUCGCAGCCAUUGUCAAAAGUCAGGAACACAAAAGGGACUUCCCAGUCUUCCCCAAAAUAUCAAAAUACACCUUUGCGACCUUAUCACAAACACCUAAUGGGACUUCCCAGCUUUCCACAAAAAUUCUUGUACAUCCCUUUGAGACGUUAUCACAAGCGCCUCGAAGACCAAACUAGCAGGACCCUUCAGGAUUUUCAUCAGCUCUACCAUCACCUUCAAACCCGCCACCCAUCUCACACACCCUCUCCCACAUGCUCUUCUCCACAGGCACCACCGACAACCUCGGCUGCCUGAACAGGCCACAUCCUUGCAGUCCACUCUCUUUCUUCAUUUCCCCCAAGUCCACCGGCCUCCGCAUUUCGCCAACCGCCUUCACAUCCACCGCACUAUCACCGCUAUCAUCAGCGUACCAUUCACGGACAACAGAGACCACACCCACCACGCGGCGGGCUUUGGAGCCGGAAUGGUAGAAAAAGCAGAGAUCUCCAGUUCUCAUGGACUUCAUAUUCUUCUGGGCUUGCUUGUUCUUGACGCCGUCCCAUUUGGAUACACCACCAUUGGCUGCUUGGUCCUCCCAUGACCACUCCCCUGGCUCCGUUUUUAGCAGCCAGUAUUGUUUUUCUUUACCCAUUUCUGUGCUGUGAAAACUUUGUAGAAUUUGAAUUUCUCAGGAUAGGGGCUGGGAAUUUUCAGGGUUGGAUUCAGGAAAAGGGUGAUUGGACCUAAAGCACUAGCUUUACUACUGGUAUUUGUUAUGGCGGGAAAUCGGCGACGGCCCCGCAUUUUGAUUGAUUGAUUGAUUCCUUCCGCUUCUUAAUUUUAAUACUCCCUGUUCACUUUGAGAGUCCUAUUCCUUUUUCUACACAAUUUAAGAAAAAAUCGUUAAAUUUGUUGAAAAAGUAAAUUUAAAUUACUAUUUUUCUAAAAUACCCUCACAUUAAAUAUGGUACAACUUUAUGGGAAUUUGAAUUGAUGGUAAAAAAAGAAUCAACUCUCAUUAAAUGGGAUAAGUUUAUAGUAACAACUACUUACAUCGAAUAAGGGUAUUUUAGGAAAAUUAAAAUACAACUACAUUCUUCAAUUGGAAAGUGGACUACAAUUUGGGACAGAUGAAAAAGGAAUACAGGACUAUCAAAGUGGGACGGAGAGAGUAGAUAAUAUAUAUAAUUGGUUGAAAUCGAUUAAGUUCUAAGCUUAGUUACCAAAAUUUGAUGAUAAUUAGAUUGAUUAGAUAUUUCAUACUUUAGUGCUGUAAAUCCAGAAAAUAUUUAAAUAAAGGAUUAAUCACACUUUGCUCCUCUGAACUUUGGGUGUAGUUACACUUUACUACCCUCAACUUUUAAAAUAUACACUUUACCCCAUAAAAAACUAGUCAAAGUUAGGAAUGCCAAAAAAAAGUGAGUGCAAAUUAUUGUCCUUUUAUUUUUGAGAUUAUAACUCAUUUUAUUGCUAAAAGAUAUACAUCUUCUCUGUAAUAUCUACUGUACAAAAAAAAAUAUCAAACUAAUAAAGCUAAAAAAAAGGUUUACAUUUAGUUUAUUAUUCUUAAUAUUUUUCCUAUUGGAUACUUUAAAUAUAACAAGGAUUAGGGGUGCAAACGAAUCGAAUCGAGCCGAACUUUGGCCUAGUCAAGUCGAGCCUCCAGUUAAUUUUGUGAAGUUCGAACUCGAGCUCAAAAUGUCAAGCUCGAGCUCGAGCUUGACUCAAAUUCGAGUCGAGCUCGAGCUUAAAAAAUAAAAAUAAUAAAAAUAAUUUUUUUUAAAAAAAAUAAAAAAUAAUUAUUUAUUUUUAACAAUGAAUAAAAUAAUAAUUUUUUAAUAAAUAAUAAAAUAUUAGGGAUAUAUGUGUAAUUUUACUAUUAAAAUAAAAAAAUAUAUAUAAUUGAACUCGCGAACCGCUUGCGAGCCAACGAGCUUAAUGUUUUUGAGCUCGAACUCGAGUUCGAAUUCGACUUAAUUAUCUCGAGCUCGAUAUUGACCGAGCUCGUACUCGAGCCGCUCGCGAUCGACUCGCAAGCGGGUCGAUUCGUGAACACCCCUAACAAGGAUAAAUAACUCAAUGAAAACAAUAAAUACAUUUAGCAAAAUUUUGGAAAAAAGGGUACUGUUAAACUUGUUAUUUUAUUAAUUUUUUAUUAUUUUAGCUUAUGUAAACUGUUACAAUAAUGUUAUCAUCAUUUAUUUUUUUAAACUAGUCGAAAAUUAAAUACUUAACCCAAUUAGUUAAAAAGGGCUGAUAUGCCUUAUUUUUAAAUUUAGAGGAGGCAAAAUAUAUAUUAAUGUUAUGCGUUCUCCUUUGGCUACUGUAUUUAUAAUUGCUUAGGAUAUUAUCAUGAACUCAGAGAUGUCUCAUUUGAGGCUGUCAUGCCUCAACCAAUUAUAGGAUGACAUCUGCACACGAUGAUUUGUCUACUAGGCAGAUUCUAGUUGUGGUUCAAAUACAUGGAAUAAUUCCCACCUCGUGUAGAAAAAUCGCAAAUAUAUCAAAAAAAUGAAGUGAAAACUGUGGUAUUUUCUCGUAUGCUAGGAGAGCAGGCAUCACACUCAUUGCAGAGAGUGCAAUCAGAGAUUCAGAAGUGUGAGGGGGGGAGGUUCUAAAUUUCUACUAGGGGUGGCAAUUUUCGACACGACACGAACCUAACACGAAAUUAAUGGAUUUGGGUUGAGGUUUCGGGAAUUCGGGUCAGAAUCGGGUUGGACCCGAUGAACCCGAAAAGAAAACAGGUCAAUUUCGGGUCAACCCGUGGUGACCUGAUAUGACCCGAUAUGACCCGUUUACGAAUUAAAAAUAAUUUAAUAAACAUAAAAAUAAUUUUAUCUAACUAAACUAAGUUAUUCUUUUUUUCAAAGGCAUUAAUUACUUAAUUCUAAAUGAAUUUAUUUAAUUUGUGUGAAGUUGAAAUUAUUAUAUUUGGACAAAUAAUAUAUUAUAUUAUUUUUUACUUUUAUACUGUUUUAAUUUAUUUUAUAUUUUGUUUGAGAUAAAACACUUUUACGGUGUUUAAUUUAUUUUAGAUUUGGUUUGGAAUUAUUUAUUUAAAUUUUUAUUACUUGAUUAUGUAAUUAGUUUUGUGAGAAAUUGAUUUUAUUAGAAAUUACAGUGAUAAAUUAAUAAAUUAAAAUUAAGUUUCGGGUCAUUUCGGGUCGACCCGCCAACCCGCCAACCUGAAAUUUUCGGGUUCGGGUCAGCAUACCUGACCCGUCACGGGUUGGCGGGUCGGGUUCGGGUCAACAGAUUUUCUGACGGGUUGACCCGAACCCGACCCGCCAACCUGAUUUAGACCCGAAUUGCCACCCCUAAUUUCUACUAGGAACUAAAUAUGAGGCCAAGAUCUUUUCUUUUCUAAUGGUCAUAAUUUUUAGGUCAGGAUUUGGCGUGACUCAGAUAUGCAGGUUAACCGUACAAGAUUAGAUGGCUGGCAAGGUCAAGUUGCCAUUACCUCACCAAUUUGAGCCAAGUAGACGAGUUGGAGCCCAUCUUCUUGCUACGGAUUUUUUUGAGAAAAAUGCAGUUUUGGUACCUAAACUAUGACGCAGGAGCGGUUUUAGUCCCCAAAUUUUGGACGAAAGCAAAUGUGGUACCCAAUCUUUCAAAUUUUGAGCACAUUAAGUACCUUUGACGAUUUUUUCUCAAAUUGCCAUUGGAAAAAGUCAUGUGACAGUCACAUGUCCGGCCACCAUUGUAUGAAAAAUAGCCAAAAAAAUGUCAAAUGCCAUUCUAAUACUAAAUAUUAAAUUUAAGGACUAAUAACGUAAUAAACAAAAAAUCCAAGGACCCAAGGACUAAAUAACAUCAUGAGUCAAUUAAAAAAUAAAAGAAGAAGACAACAUCACAUAGUGUCUGUUUCGUUCCUCUUGCUUCACUCUCAAAUAGAAAACCCAAUUACCAUCCGGGUUACUUUGGGAAAGUUGGUAUGAGGUACUUCCACAAGCUCUGUAACAAAUUCCAUUGCCUCAUUGUCAACAUCGAAAAGCUCUGGUCUUUGGUUCCUCAAGAAGCUAAGGACAAAACUACCAAGGACAACGCCCCUUUGAUUGAUAUCACCCAGUUCGGAUAUUUUAAGGUUAUGGGUAAGGGAGUUUUGCCUGAAAAUCAACCUGUUGUUGUUAAGGUCAAGCUGGUUUCCAAGACUGUUGAGAAGAAGAUUAAGGAAGCUGGUGGGGCUGUUGUUCUCACUGCUUAGGUUGUUUUGUUUCUUGGAUUUACUAAGUCUGAGGUUCUAUUAGUAGUAUUAUAAUUUGGCACUUUUUUGGAUUUACCCCUUUAAUUUUGUUGUUAUGAAAUGAAUGUUAUUGGACCAUUUUUAUGGAUGUUUUUAAUGUUAUUCAGCAGAUUAAUUUCUGCAUUAUGAAUGGAAAAAAAAGAAUUCUUUGGGAUUGAUGUACUGGAAUUGGAGCUCAUUUGUGACUUGAUUAUGUACUGGAAUUAGUCAAGUACAAGCCUUGUUCAAGCAUGGAUAUUACGUGAUUAUGCUAAACAAAAGACCAUGCCCUGUUUUAACAUGGUUUUAUACUAAGAGAAAACGCCGAACCCACUAGUUUUCCAGUGCACAGAAAAUGGCUGCCUGCUUUAAUUGUUUCGUGAGAUGAAGUUAUGUAAGCGUUGCUUCCAUCUGAACUUCUAACCAACUGAACAGAUUGCUGCAAUUUCACUUCUACAUUUUUGUUUUUCAACCAGCCUAAAGUCUUGUUGGAAGCUUUGGGUCCAAUAAACUCUAGCAACCUAGGUCUAUCAUGCACCAAAACAACCUUCUUUUCUGGAAAAUCAACAGCAAUUUUUGCAGCAAGUUCAACUCCAGUGAACUAAAAUCUUACAAACAAUUGCAGAGUCAAAACCACUACAAAAUAUAUGUCCAAUCCAACUGGUUAAUCCAACAAAAGAUGACUUUCCAGUAACACGGUGAUGUUCCAUAAGGUACCAAAUAUGAUGCAGUUGUACAAAAGCAUUGUUACAAGGGAUAAUGUUCAUUAAGGUAGAUUCACUUCACGCAGCCUCAAUUUCAUUAGCCAUUGGAAGAUCCCCCAGCAGAUUGACCACCAGUAAUAUUUGUUAUUGUACAAGACUUUGUAUCUCUUAUAUGAAAAUUGGGAACUUGGACUGGAUCAGGUUGACUCAUAUAUGGCAUCUGAGGCAAUGGAAUGUUGGACACUUAUGCAAGUUAAGUUCUGGAGUUGGAGCAGACGAAAUUAUAUCUUCAGUAGCUGCCAUGUUUUGUCGUUGAGAUCUCUGUGCCUUUCUUUUCCUCUGAUUUGGAAGCACAAUGUUUUCCUACAUCAACCAAAAGAGAUAUUUGUCACUUUAAAUAAAGUAAGAGAAAACCAGUGCCACAAGUAUAAGAAAUACUACAAGAGAGAGUACAGAAGUUCUUUUUGCUCCUUUUCUUGCAAUCGUCUUAGCAGGUCCACUACAUGUGUUUACCUGCACACAAAUUAUUAACUAACUUAAUAUGGAUAACAUAAUGAAUAUUAUAACUAAUGAAACUUAGUUUAAUUUUACUUACACAUUGAUUGUCUACCGUUGUAUCAGCACCAGUUUGAGAUGAGGCUUCAUUAAGAGAUAUUUCAAAUAGCUCAGUGCAAGAUCCUACUUGUUGGCUUGCACUUUGAGUAGCUUGAGUGCCUUCAAUUGCAGCAUUUUCAAGUUGCUCCUUCCGAAUAUUACAAGACCUUUUGUUAUGCCCUUUCUCACCACAGUAGUUACACUUAAUCACUUGCCCAACUCUAUUCAUUUUAUUCCCUUUCUCUUUUUUCUGUUGUAUUUCAUCUUCACCCUUUUUCCUCAGUUUUUUGGGCCUUCCUGGUGCUCUUCCAUAUGUUGGUGGAAGUGGAGGUGUAACAUGAGUAUGUGUCCAAUCAUGCUCCCCAUUGACAGGCAAAAUGCAAUUAGCAUAGCACUUGAGAUAGGCUUCAACACUAUAACAUUGAUCAAUAAAGUCCAUAGGGUCUUUACGAGCUAUCCAGAUUGCUGAAAUUGCAUGGCUGCAUGGAAUCCCGGUAAGAUCCCAUUUCCUACAAGUGCACAUUCUCUCUUUAAUAUUAACACAAUAUGUUUCUCCAUAAGGGCAGCCAACCUCAUAAUCAUCAUCAUUUGAUUUAAUAGGAAAACAUUGAGUAGCCAUAUCCAUGUUUUUCUUUACUCUUUUCAUGAUUCUUGGGCAGAAUUUCAAUUUCUUCCACUUGCUCUUAGCCAUAUCUCUGUUUUGCUGCAAUCUGGUCAUUACGUAGUGCCUCAAAGAUUCCAUCAGCCCCACAAUAUGCUCCUUUCUAGCAUGUAGAAUCUUGCUGUUAAAUGACUCACAUAUGUUGUUUAGCAACAUGUCACACUUGGAAAAGGUUCUAAAGUGUGAUCUAGUCCACUCAAUAGGCUGCUUUGUACCCAACCAUUUCGCAACCUCAAUGUCAAUUUCUGCCAAUUCCCUCAUCUUUGUACUGAAUUUUGCAAGUGUGGUUGCUUUAGCAGCUUUCCAUAGUGCACGUCUCAAAGUUGUUCCUUUAAAUCCAGCAACUGAAAAAUUACUGUGUAGAUGUUUAACACAAAAUCUAUGGUCACAAUUUGGAAACACUGCCUCACAUGCUUGUAUGAUGCCUUUUUGUUUGUCACUCAUUAUAGUCCAUUCAUAGUCUCUCUCCAUUUGAAGAUCCUCUCUCAACAAUGUUAGAAACCACAUCCACGAAUCUUUGGUUUCCCCCUCAGUUGCAGCAUAAGCAAUGGGAUAAAAUCCAUUGUUAGGAUCAACUCCCACAGCAGUUAGCAAUACCCCUCCUGCUGGACCCUUUAAGAAUGUCCCAUCUAAGCCAAAAAUAGGUCUACAAGCAGCUAGGAAUCCCUGUUUAACCCCAGCAAAACACAUGUACAAUCUUUGAAACUUUUGUUGUCUUGUGACCGCAUCACAAUACCCAUCUACUACUUUCAUAAUCACAGUAGUUCCAGGGUUACUCCUCUUUAUUUCAUUGAUAUAAUCAGGCAGUUUCUUAUAGUGAUCAGUCUCAUCCCCUUGCACAAUUUUUGUGGCAACUCUUUUUGCUCUAUAGCCUUGAUACUUGCUUAAAAAGCAUUUAUUUUCCUUCAUUAUCUUAUUUGUAAAGCUCUUAAGAUCUAGCUUCGGAUUUUCUCUAAUUGUCUCACAGUAAUUUUUUGCCACCCAACUUGAUCUUACACUUUCAUUAUGGUAAGAGAACCCACACUUGUGUUGCUUUUGAAAGGUUCUAACUUGCACACUGCCUUCCCCACUCAACUUUCUAGCAUAGAUGUACCAAUCACAACCUUCUCUAGGACACUUGGCCAUCACUUUAACUUUGUCAUGUUUAACAAACUUAAAUGGCCUUUCUCUCUUUAUAUUCCAGGUUCUGACCGCUUCCUUAAACUCCUUGAAAUUGCUAAAAUAUUGUUUAAGUUUAAUUUUAGGAUUAUGCAUGUCCUUGGGAUUAAACAUUGGUGGUUUCGUACAUUGUUCAUCACCACUUCCAUGUAGACUUUCAAAAUCAGAUUCAGAAUCUGGCGUAGCAUCUACAUCAGAGUUAUCAACAUCACUCUCAGAAUCACUUCCUAUAUCCCUCUGAGCUGCAGCAAUCAUUUUGCCUUUAGCAAUCAUUUUUCUUUCCUCUUCUACUUGAUUCUCAAUCCCCAACCAUUCUACAUUCUGAUCUACAUUAUCUUCAUAAUCAUCAUCAUCCUCUUCCUCCAUCUCAUAGUCCGAGUCCUUACCAGAAAAUUCCCCUGAGCUAGCAUCUGAAUUGCAACCAUUGUGUUCUUCAGAUUCACCAUUUAUACCUCCCUCUAAAACAUAAUCAUCAUCGUAAUCAUCCUCCUCAUAAUCAUACCCCAUUUGUAACCUCAAAAUUUCAGCAAAAGAAACCUCAAUGUAUAAGUCAACAUGCCUACCAUAAUCUAGAUAAUCUGCACAAUAAGCAUAUAAUUCCUUAUCAUGCCAAAGCCUGCGAAAUCCAUACUCUUCUACAAGAAUAUGGUACCUUUUAUCGCCGUAGACCCUUGCUUCAUUUUCAAGCAUUCUAUCCAUCUCAAACAGACUAAUCCCAGUCACUUCUACAUAAUCAAACACACAUAUUUCCCCUCCCUCAUAAUGUGCAUCAGGCCCAUUUAUACAUUUUCCCCAAAUAUAGCAUCUCAUGGUGAUUUUAGUGCUACCAUUUCCUAUAUUUCAAGAAGAAUAGUUCAAACAGUUAAACGAGAGCACAUAUCACUAUUAUGUAUGUAAGAAAAUUAAGACAUAUUGAUCAACAUUCAAAUUAAUACUAAGGGUUUAAUACUUCAACAAAACCACUUAUAAAAUGCCGAUUGCAAUGCAAAAAAAAUUUGAUAUUUUAACUACAACUAACAAAUAUUGAAACAUAAAAAUGGGAUAUACAGUAGAUUAUACUCUGGAUUAAAACUAUUUUUGUAAUUUCUAGGAGAAUCCAUUGUCCAUUUGCUUUAACAUUCCCAAAGAUUAGUUUUUUCAGAUGAUAAAUGAUAUUUUGUUACUUCUAAUUUCACCCUAAACUCAAUAUUGCUGUAAAAAUUAGAUGAGGUCAGUCGUAUUUACUUACCAUCAUUUGGGGGUGGCUCAUUAUUCAAUUCUUCGCUUCUGAUUGACAUAUCGGUUCACAAUUGUUUGAUGCUCCCCAGAAUCUGCCAAGUUUUUUCGAAUUUUUGGAGCCAACUUGAAUUUUUGUUGAAGUUCGGUUCUUGGGUUUUCUAUUUGAGAGCGAAGCAAGAGGAACGAAACAGAUACUAUGUGAUGUUGUCUUCUUCUUUUAUUUUUUAAUUGACUCAUGAUGUUAUUUAGUCCUUGGGUCCUUGGGUUUUUUGUUUAUUACGUUAUUAGUCCUUAAAUUUAAUAUUUAGUAUUAGAAUGGCAUUUGACAUUUUUUUGGCCCUUUUUUAUACAAUUGUGGCCGGACAUGUGACUGUCACAUGACUUUUUUUGGUAGCAAUUUGAGAAAAAAUCAUCAAAGGUACUUAAUGUGCUCAAAAUUUGAAAGAUCGGGUACCACAUUUGCUUUCGUCCAAAAUUUGGGGACUAAAACCGCUCCUGCAUCAUAGUUUAGGUACCAAAACUGCAUUUUUCUCGAUUUUUUUUCUAGUUCUUUCACUUUGACCUUCAACUUUGCGAUUCUCCUUUCUUGUCUUCUUACUUCUUCUUCAUACGCAUCUCUUUGCUGUUCAGCUACAUUAAUUCUUUUCAGAAGCCCAGGUAUGAUCUCCGUUGACCAGCUGCACAUCUCCUUGUCAAUCCAUUGCCAAAAUCUGCAGCCACCAUCCGCGCACACCGCAAAUCUCCGCCCAGGAUUUCUUGAGGUCCACGAAGUUAUCACCCUCGACAUUUUCUCACACCUGCACAAUGGGAAAGUCGGAUUGUUGGUUUCUCGCAUGCUUCUAGUUCAACAACUUCUUUGGCUGCAAUGGAGUUUUUCUUUGUUCAAGUUCGGGAAGAAGUCCCAUUUUAUCGAGUGGAACACAGCUCAUUAUGGACAAAAAUGCCCUUCGUAUUCGGCAUACAUCUCACGUGGUCGUAGAUUCCGUUGGUAUUAACUGCUGAAUUUGACAGAAGGUCUAACAUUUUAUACUUUGGAUAGAUCGGGAGCCAAAAGUUUACUUUUAAUUGUUUGGGAGGCAAAAGUUCAUCCGAGUAAUAGUUUGAGGGCCACUAAGACUUUUUGCCCUGUAAAGAAUUCAACCCCAAAUCUGACACCAGAAAAGAUUCUAACGGUCUUUUUUGAUCACUGGCCAACUCCAAGGAUUCUGAGAUACUUGUUUAAAGAUGUUAACCUGACUGACUAUAUUAUAUAUCUACAGCUGUACUUAUGCUUGGGGUAAAUUUUGCUUUUUUUUUUUUUUUGUUAAAAGAAAAAUGAUGGAGAAGAGACCACACAAUUGGCAGGUAAGAAUAAGGCAAUAAGCAGUAGGGUAGCUCACCUGUUGUUGGUAAAAUAGCAUGCCAAUGAAGGCUAUUUUACCAGGCAAAAGAAAACGUCGUUUACAGGCCCAUUGUUCAUAUCCGGAAUUUUACCAGGCACCCAAAAAAGGAAGAAAAAGGAAAAAGACUAAUUAGAAUGAGAAGAAAUUAUUUGAAUUACACCUGCUCACACAUUGACCUUUAUAUUAAAGUAAAUUCUAGUAUAUUGUAACUAAAAACUAUGCGGAUAUCAGGCAAAUGAAUGAAUGAUUGUGGGAUUAAAGUUUCGCCAUUAGAUUUCUUCACGUCUUGUUUAACCAAAAUAAUUGACAUAUGUAUAUGAUUACUUAGAACUGUAAUACGUUCACUGACCAGUCAAUUUCAAUCUCCAAGAAGAGUCUUCUGCUUCUUUUUUCCUUAUGGAUGAAGAUUUCUUCUACUUUUUUUCUAUCGAAAUUAAGAAGAGUCAUAGAGCCAAGAAUUUUUGCUAUUGGCGAAGCUUGUCUGCCCAUCAAUCCCCUGCCGCCAUUCGAUUCUGUUUCUAAUAAGAAGGGAAAAACGUUUCGCUGCUCAUUGACCUAAUCAGCUACUUGACCCUUUCAACCAAUUAAUAUUAUUGAUGACGAAUAGAUAGGCGAAAUCUGUGUCGAAGAUGAAUAGUUAUUAUUUCUUGGUCAGUGAGUCAUGUCGAUUUACUAUUUACUGAUAUAUGCUCUCUCACGAGAUCAUCUAUCUAUCUGGCUCACAUCUGCAAACCAAUGGCUGAUCGACUUGCAUGAACCGGCAAAUAUAAAGAACGACGCAAACGCAUGCUCUCUCGUUCAUCCAACCACAACCACGACCACGCUGAAUUCAAACUUCUAAGAGCCACCAGUCACAAACAUGGAAAUCAAAGUCAAAGAUGGCAAGAUCCUUGUAAUUAAUGCAACGUUAUGGGCCAAUAUUUUGCCCUUCUGUAGUAGCAUAACCAGCACAACAAACCAUGCAGUGAAUAUAAAUCCAUAUGCCCGGCCAGAGUCGUUAAGAUUUUUUUUUGGUGACCAUUUCUCGCCCGCCGGUUGUUGCCAAUUAAUAUAAAUUAAAUCCAUCCCCUUAAUGAUAACGUCAGCUCUUAGUCUUUAGAUAGCAAAAUAGCUGUCUCCUGGAGACCAAAUUUUUCUAGCAAAUGCUAGAAUUUUCAACUUUUGUAUCUCUAGAAAGUUCAAAGUUAUGAAGAAAGAAGAAAAGGUUUGUCCCUUUGCAAUUUGUCAGAGAUGUGUUAUAGCUGACUAUUAAAAUGGACAAUAUAACUUCGUGGUUGAAUGCUCGAAGUCAGAGUUCUGCGUCCCAUGAAUUUUCUUUCUGAUUAAAUGAAACAGGUUUAGGGUUGCUGUGCAAUAUGAGACUCCAGCUUAGUAGACGAAUUGGAUAAAUUUAUGAGGUCAGCCUUAGCACGAAAGAUCCGGUCCACUGAUGCCGGUCUGGAGCAUUAAAACAUAACCCCCCCAAGAAACAUGGAACAGCAACGCAUAACAGUUCAGUUCAGCUCAUUGAUUCCAACCAAAUACUAACUGCCAUCGGAGGAAAAAAAAAGAAAAAACGAAAGUGUUUUAAGAAGGCAGCAAGCUAGCUUGUCUUGUGAAGUUGUGAUGGCCAGGGAUCAUAAAGCAUGGCAUAGCGAGCCACACUACACACCAGGCAUAUUGGGUGCAUUAAUUUUGGUUGGGGCAAAGUGAGUGGAAGAACUAGCUGGAACGGCUAUCAUUUGGUUUCCUAGUAUGAUUUUGAGCCUCGUGAUCCAAAAUAAUUAGUGGAAGGAAAUGUCUUUACUUAGUAUCAUCACAUUAAAUGGUAAACUUUCAACUUUGGUCCGUUAGAUUUUAGUAAUAAAGUGCAUGCCAUGGCAAAGGACAAUGUGUAAUUAAAGUUGUAGUUGACGAAUAUAUUCUUGGCUUUAGGCGCUCUAAAUAUCUUGUUGCUGGGCUUUUGCGGUCCUGGCCAAUAAUCACCCGAGUUGGAAUUGGAUAAAACAUUAGUAUUAUUAUCAUGCCGACCGUAGAUCUACGAGAAACACGAGGUAUGCCGUCUUGAUUAGAUGCAGAGGUGUGCCCAUGUCAAAGAACAACAUAAAUCUGUUGAUGCAUCGAGUCCUGUAAAACGGAUAGGUGGCUUUGAUAUCCUAUACAGUCAAAUUAAUGAGCAAGUUUUGAAUUUGCACCAUGCAUCCCAAUCCGGCAAGUAAUCAAGACAAAUGUUUACCGGGUACCCAAGAUACAUUCGCAUUGAUCACAAACAACCGAGACUAUAUAUGAUGUGUAGAAGGAUCAUAUACAAUAUAUAUACGCACAAAUGCUCAUGCAUAAGACAUGAGAAAAAUGAGGGAGUAAGAACAAAGAUAUAUACUAUAUCGUCAGGGCUGCUUUUGCCCCUGCGUGUAUAUAUAGUCGAGAUGAGCCUCCAGUGUUCUUCUCAUCAAGCACUCAUCUUCUCCAAGUCCUUCGCAACUCUCCUCUUUAUCUACCUUCUCAACAUGAUCAUUCUACGUACAAGACCAAAGACACAGAUUAAUUACUAGCAUCAAAAUAUGUGUAUGAACCAGUACUCGAGCCAAAAUCAGAAACAAAUAAUAAUAAUAAUAAUAAUAAAGAUGACCAUCAGAUGAGUUGAUAUGCAUCAUACCACACGAUGACCAUGAUGAGUUUCCAUCGGAGUUACGUCCUGAAAUGUAGCCACCGGCCGGGCAACCGCGUAAGAUAGGGUAAGAAAAAGUAGAAGGGAUACGAUGCAAAGGGUGCUAACCUUGGACAUUUUUGUGAUACCUAGAUAGUGCCUAAUAUUCUAUAUAUCUAUCUUCUCCCAAGAAGGGUAGGCAAAGAUAUGAAGACUGUUGAGGGCAAUAUAUAUGUAUAUUUAUAGGGAGGGAGAGGAAAGAGGGGCUUGCUGGGGAGGAUGUGAGAUGGGUAGUAGUUUAUCCGGAUGCUGAAAGUAACCCGGACGGCCCUGAAUUUGUUUGACAAAUGCUAGAAAAAUGCUUGGCCUAUCUUUUUCAUGGUUGAAUAAUACGACUACUACAACUAUGAUGAAUAAUAUGAACUAUGAAGACCUCUAGAAGGUUCAUGAAUGGUGUAAUACUCUAUUGGAUGGAUUAGUCAAAAUGGAUGAAAUAUGUAUGUGAGCAAGGACUUGUUAUCUAGAAGAGACAUUUGGCCGAGUGUUUCAGGUUUCUGGGAUGUUGCCUUUUACACGGAAGUAUCCACAAGCAAUUGACUGCGGUUAAGUCGGAAGGUUCUAUCUGUAUGCUCCUUCUAAGCAGGGAUGCCACGUACCAUCACCAUGCCAUUUAAAAGUAAUCCUGCCCACAACUUAAUUUGGAAAAUUAGAUCAGCUUAAUUAGCAAUUUCUUUCCUAUUUUGGGCUUUCAUAUUUGUAGUACAAUCUCUCAUUUGCACAUUUUUUAAGUUGUGCGCUGUUUUCUUGAAAAGGUGAAAUGCACGUGGAAAUGGAAAACUUCAAGAAUAAAGAGCAGCGGAAUUAAUGGAAAGUGUACUAUUUCAUUCUAGCAUUCAUUAAGCUCCCUGAUUUGUUACUUUUGAAUUUUUUUUUAUCAGACUUUUGAAGUUAGUUAAUUAAACUUAAUCCCAAAUUUAACUCCAAAAGUCGACAACUCUUGAAACAAACUUGAUUUGUUACUUUUGAAUGGUACGAGAUAUCUUUGAAUUGGUUAGACUUGAGAGAAGAUCAAUAGAUUACGUACAAAUGAUUUAAUUUCAUGGAGAAAAUCUUCAAAACUCGGUGAAAAGCAGCAAUUAAUGCAAGGACAACAAUUAAAAAUGACAAAUACGGAUGCAUAAGUGCUAAAAACCAAUUAACAUGUUCAUGAUGAUGCCCAAUGUCCUUGAGGUGCAACAGCCCACAAUGAGCUACACAUAUGCCCGCACUGAUCAUGAUGAAGUCUAGCAUGCAUGCUCCUGCUCCUCAGAGAUUCUGAGAGUUGACCGGACCACGGGGAUCAUAACCCAUAAUGAUUCAGUUAAUUACUAGCACCGAGUGAUUAUUAUCUUGUAUUAAGGAAAGAUCCAAUUGCAUAAAAUGGCUAGUUCUAACAAUGCAAAAGUUGACCAUGAGCCAUACACACACACAUACAUACAUAAACACAUAUGGUGGGGUAGGUUUAAAAAUUAAAAGUUAGAAUGUUCGUUAGGAUGAUAAGUGAGCCAUAAAAGGUGAUGGAAACUUUUCUGUUUUGUCAGAAUUUCAACUUUAUAACUCCACGUUAAUCUUGUCACCACUAUGACUGUAUCUUUUCAACCUCCACCUGAUCAGUUUCUUGAGGUACGAACAGACAAUUCUAGACAAUUCUGCAAUUGUCCCAUCAAAAUGCCCUAACACACACACACACACACACACAAAACGUAGUUGAUCGAGGAGGAAACAUGCAACCUGCGGUGGAGGUUUGAAGGUUGAGUUCAAUCAUUAUUAAUGAGGUGCCGCCAUUUGAUUAUGGACUGCUAGAGAUUCUUGGUGGAACCAAUGGUUAUAAAACUUACAAUACAUGUUUUGUGGCCUCAAUCAUGCAACCUGUGAAGCCUUUUGCCGCGGUCGAUGGUUAUUGCUAUCGGCCGCUCGUACAAAUACCAUUAGUCUCAAUCAUCAUGCAUGCGGGUCUCUGCUUUUGCCCGGACGUUUGUGCUGACUAGUGACUACACACGCACAUACAUAUAUAUAUAUAUAUAUGUAUGUAUAUAUACAAAACAAAAACGAAAAAGAAAAAGGAGAUUGCAGAAGCAGAAAACACAAUCACAACAGUUACACAAGUCCUUUCACCACUUGUGAAAUGCAGUUUCAGGUUGUCGGAAAAAUUUGUUGACCGUACUCUGACUUGACAAAAGAAUAAAGAAAAAGAGUAACAGGAAGAACACUUCGAUUAGGAAAAUUUGGCUGGUGAUUUCAGCGGGCAUGCAUGGGCUUGCAUUUUGCGGAUAGAUACGUCUCUGCUGAACUUGUAAUAACACAGCCCCCGAUUCCAUUCAUUGGCCAUCUCUGAAUAGACAUUAAUCAUCUUAUAAAACUGGUAAUCUUUGUUAGCUCCACAGCCUAUCCAUACCCAAUGACCAACUUUUGUGAACAAAUUAUUUACCUCCUAAUUCUCCACGCACUACUUGGAAGUAAGGGUGGAUUUGGAGAGCCCUUUUUUAUUUUUUUUUAAUAACUGCAUUUUGAGUUUCACCUGUGUAUAAAACAAUUAUCGAUUUAGUUCAAAGCGGUAAGUUUGACAAGAAAUUAUCAGGCUGUAUCUUCCAUUGAACUGAAUUUAUUAGGUAGUGCAAGAUGCACAGAGAAAGUUCAAGAGACGAGGCAAAAGCCAUGCAACAAAACCCAAUGCUUAAACGGAGGCAUUAGAACCAGCUGUUAUAAGCAUAAAAAGGAGCAGAAAAAUAUAGAAUUUUGUGACACUGAUGAAAGUCAAUCUGCAGAAAAAAGCAUAAUGGAGCUAUUUCGAUCGCACUCUCAAUACUCAAGUGUUAUCAGGAUACAAUCGGUGAAUGCACGUUGCACAACCUAUACACCACUCGAAAACCUGUUUAUUAUGGAUGCUAGGAAUGAAGCCCUAAGGAUUCACUGGGUAAUAUUAAUCUGUCAAGCCUUAGAAAUAAGAAAUACCUAGUAGGGUCAGACUGAGAGCCACUGAGAGCCACAGCAGGUACAUAAUUCAAAAUUUUAGAUAGCAUCUCUAUGGUUAUUUGAUCUCAGAACAAUACGAUUACAGCUAACAAGAUGGCCAAAUUGCCAAGAAAGGAACCGAAAGCGCCAAGUUCAAAAUCUUUUUUCCUUCCAUAAAUAUCUCAAAAAACUCUAUGUUGCUUAUGACUCUACAAUACCAAAAGUCCACAUGACAAUUAAAAAGACUGGAGCAAAUCUAAUCUGAAGUACACUUACUGCAGCAGAACUCUAAGCAAAUUCAAUGCUAUUUACAAGAGACGAGCAAGAAUUAUAAAUUAUUACUCCAAAAAGCUACCGAACCUCCCCAUCCUCAUCAAUUUCUCCACCCCUGUACUCAUCA
Molecule: long non-coding RNA, 32529 nt
Filed under: Coffea arabica (coffee)
Lineage: Eukaryota; Viridiplantae; Streptophyta; Magnoliopsida; Gentianales; Rubiaceae
Description: long non-coding RNA (CARA_LNC001644)
Source: RNAcentral